This 86-nucleotide transfer RNA is filed under the name Cordyceps javanica. RNAcentral describes it as "Isaria javanica tRNA". It matches the Rfam family "tRNA". From Rfam's summary of the family: Transfer RNA (tRNA) molecules are approximately 80 nucleotides in length. Their secondary structure includes four short double-helical elements and three loops (D, anti-codon, and T loops). The record is from Rfam by way of RNAcentral. RNAcentral also lists the same sequence under 1 other name. Lineage: Eukaryota; Fungi; Ascomycota; Sordariomycetes; Hypocreales; Cordycipitaceae.
GCCCGGUUAGCUCAAUCGGUAGAGCGUGAGACUCUUAAUACGAGUUCACCAUCUCAAGGUUGCGGGUUCGACCCCCGCAUCGGGCU